Long non-coding RNA from Amphimedon queenslandica, 296 nucleotides. RefSeq lists it as uncharacterized. The transcript has 2 exons. NCBI's taxonomy places the organism in Eukaryota, Metazoa, Porifera, Demospongiae, Haplosclerida, Niphatidae. The record is from RefSeq and is a predicted model, not a curated record.
GUAAAACCGGGCUCGGGAGGGCUCGGGCACGGGAAAUGGUGGGGUAAAACCGGGCUGCCCCGGACUGGGGCUUCACCUAUUUUCAUGGAAUAAGGACUGAUAUGGAGCUAGUAAGGACAUAGAACAAACUACUGAGGAAGCCAUGAAUCCCCCUUGACUAAUGCUGGGAACAAGGCCGCUCUACUCCCAUGAUCUUUCUUCUAAGUCCACUUUAACUCUCUCAUUUUUAUUUCUAAUUUUAUUUGCUGUCAUUGUUAUCUUAAUUCUCAUUUUCCUUGAUUGUUGAUUUAUUUUUA